This is a long non-coding RNA of Cucumis sativus (cucumber), 512 nucleotides long. RefSeq lists it as uncharacterized. The transcript has 3 exons. NCBI's taxonomy places the organism in Eukaryota, Viridiplantae, Streptophyta, Magnoliopsida, Cucurbitales, Cucurbitaceae. The record is from RefSeq and is a predicted model, not a curated record.
GGACUAGAUAGCCCAACCUUUGUUCGCCGAUGUUAUUGGCUCCUAGAUAAGACCUUUGAACACAUUGUCCUUGUUUAUUACCGUGAAACACAAGAGUUUCAGAAUUUUCCAUCCACAUCGUUGAACUCAAAUUCUGGUUCUGUCUCUAACCCAUCAACUCCGUGGCUUUUAUCGGAGGAACUUGAUUCCAAGGCUACUCAUGUUUAUUCUCUUGGUGAAAAUGAAUUGUCAGGUGAUACUGGCCGAACCUGUCAAAAAUAAAUGAGUCAUAGUUUGUUUGAUCAUUCAUUUUCUAAUCUUUCUUCUUUAUAUUUAAUUAGUUGUUUAAUUUCUUAAAAAAGAAUUCUGGUUUAUUUAUAGUAUAUUUGGUAGUAUGCAUGCCUCAGCUCCUUUAAUGCAUGUCUCUUACAGUAUAUUUGGUAGUCUUUUAUAAUGUUACACCCUUUUUUUUAAUUCCUAAAACCUUUUAACUUUCCAAAUUUUCAUUCAUUCUUUUAGAAAAUUAUUUUCAU